RNAcentral lists this ribosomal RNA (382 nucleotides) under uncultured eukaryote. Its description in RNAcentral is "partial 18S ribosomal RNA". It matches the Rfam family "Eukaryotic small subunit ribosomal RNA", at positions 592 to 975 of the family's 1831-position model. The record is from RNAcentral.
CAAUAGCGUGUAUUAAAGUUGUUGCAGUUAAAAAGCUCGUAGUUGGAUUUCUGGUGGGAGCGAUCGGUCUGGCGCUUAGCGCGAGUACUUGCAUCGUCUCCGGCCAUCCUUGGGGAGAGUCUGUCUGGCAUUAGGUUGUCGGGCAGAGGAUCCUCAUCGUUUACUGUGAAAAAAUUAGAGUGUUCAAAGCAGGCUUAUGCCGUUGAAUAUAUUAGCAUGGAAUAAUAAGAUAGGACUUUGGUACUAUUUUGUUGGUUUGCGCACCAAAGUAAUGAUUAAUAGGGACAGUUGGGGGCAUUCGUAUUCCGUUGUCAGAGGUGAAAUUCUUGGAUUUACGGAAGACGAACUACUGCGAAAGCAUUUACCAAGGAUGUUUUCAUUA